GACGAACGCUGGCGGCGUGCCUAAUACAUGCAAGUCGAACGCUUCUUUCCUCCCGAGUGCUUGCACUCAAUUGGAAAGAGGAGUGGCGGACGGGUGAGUAACACGUGGGUAUCCUACCCAUCAGAGGGGGAUAACACUUGGAAACAGGUGCUAAUACCGCAUAACAGUUUAUGCCGCAUGGCAUAAGAGUGAAAGGCGCUUUCGGGUGUCGCUGAUGGAUGGACCCGCGGUGCAUUAGCUAGUUGGUGAGGUAACGGCUCACCAAGGCCACGAUGCAUAGCCGACCUGUGAGGGUGAUCGGCCACACUGGGACUGAGACACGGCCCAGACUCCUACGGGAGGCAGCAGUAGGGAAUCUUCGGCAAUGGACGAAAGUCUGACCGAGCAACGCCGCGUGAGUGAAGAAGGUUUUCGGAUCGUAAAACUCUGUUGUUAGAGAAGAACAAGGACGUUAGUAACUGAACGUCCCCUGACGGUAUCUAACCAGAAAGCCACGGCUAACUACGUG
This 508-nucleotide ribosomal RNA is filed under the name uncultured bacterium. Its description in RNAcentral is "partial 16S ribosomal RNA". It matches the Rfam family "Bacterial small subunit ribosomal RNA", at positions 28 to 507 of the family's 1533-position model. The record is from RNAcentral.